UAGGGAAUAUUGGACAAUGGGCGAAAGCCUGGUCCAGCAAUGCCGCGUGAGCGAUGAAGGCCUUAGGGUUGUAAAGCUCUUUUACCCGGGAUGAUAAUGACAGUACCGGGAGAAUAAGCCCCGGCUAACUCCGUGCCAGCAGCCGCGGUAAUACGGAGGGGGCUAGCGUUGUUCGGAAUUACUGGGCGUAAAGCGCACGUAGGCGGCUAUUUAAGUCAGAGGUGAAAGCCCGGGGCUCAACCCCGGAAUUGCCUUUGAGACUGGAUAGCUAGAAUCUUGGAGAGGCGGGUGGAAUUCCGAGUGUAGAGGUGAAAUUCGUAGAUAUUCGGAAGAACACCAGUGGCGAAGGCGGCCCGCUGGACAAGUAUUGACGCUGAGGUGCGAAAGCGUGGGGAGCAAACA
This 402-nucleotide ribosomal RNA is filed under the name uncultured prokaryote. RNAcentral's name for it is "bacterial SSU rRNA". It matches the Rfam family "Bacterial small subunit ribosomal RNA", at positions 355 to 774 of the family's 1533-position model. The record is from RNAcentral.